GCAGGAGUGAGAGAGCACAAGCAGAGGGAGAGGGAGAAGAAGCAGGAAGCCUGAUGCUCCAUCCCAGGGUCCUGGGAUCAUGACUGGAGCAGAAGGCAGGUGCUUAACCAACUGAACCAUGCAGGUGUCCUUGCCUCAAGCUUCUUAAGAAAUCUUAACUAUAGGAAACCAAGAGUAUUGUCCCAUGGCAAUGAUUUUGGAAGAUGGCUGUUCAGCAUGUAGGAGAAGAAGAAGGUCCCUCUCUGGCUCAGAAAAAUGGCACUGGCCAAGAGAACCAACCAAGGCAAUCUGGAUCCAAUGCCUGCUAUUGCUGACGAUUGUUCCACAGGACCUCUGUUGUUGGAGAUUGUUCUGACAUGUGGAUUCAUCCUGAACAAUGGCCUGGUGUUCUCAUUGUGUCUCUCUGGAAAGCCUCAGGCUCAGGAUGCUCUGAAGACUGAACACACCUAGCAGGGAGCUAGGUUAUAACCAACUGGAAAAAACAGCCAUGUGAGAGUUCAAUGCACACUGGGCUACCUACAUUGGUUUUGGGAGGCCAAUUUCAUUCUCUGUUCUGGUUUCCUGGAAAUCACAUGAAAUGCAAGAACAUCAAAGACAAAGAGUAUAUUUAAAGGCUUUCAUAUCACCUACAGAAGAACAAGAAUUAGAUCUAUGUUAGACUUCUUAAAAGGAGCACUGGAUGCCAGAAGACAGUUGAAUAAUGUUAUUAAAGGAUUGAAGAAAGGAACUCUCUAGAACCAAAAUGAAGAGAAAGAGAAAAUACUCCCAUGGCAACUGAAAAAUAACAUUCCAGACAACAUCAGCAUGGGGUGAGGAGGAGAGACCAGAAGAUCAUGAAAGGAUGAAAGGCAGACUGCCACAUGCAGUGCCUCAUUUGGAUGUGUCUAGUCUUGGAAGCCUGACUACACUACAUUUUCCUUCAAAUGGACUUUGAUGGUUCUAGCAGAGGAGCACAGCUACUUGUAUGCCCUUCAGCCAAGAAGGAUCCUCUUCCUCUGAUGGAGAAGGUCAGCCUCUUUGAGCGUGCAGCUUCAGGACAGAUGCACAUGGAGUGGUGAGAGAAGAAGGGGACACCUGUAGCCAGUCAGAUCAGCUGGAUCAACACUGACAAUCAAUGGAGGGACAGAUAUUGCAGCCAGAUCACCCUCACAUCCUGGUUAGAACUAGAUAAACUUACUGUAAAAUUAUAUGGAAAAAUAAAGAUGCAUGAAUAGCUAUGUCAAUCAUGAAAAAAUAAAAAUUAAAAGAUAA
Molecule: long non-coding RNA, 1251 nt
Organism: Canis lupus familiaris (dog)
Lineage: Eukaryota; Metazoa; Chordata; Mammalia; Carnivora; Canidae
Exons: 8
Source: RefSeq, a predicted model, not a curated record